Non-coding RNA from Malus domestica (apple), 1037 nucleotides. Lineage: Eukaryota; Viridiplantae; Streptophyta; Magnoliopsida; Rosales; Rosaceae. The record is from RefSeq and is a predicted model, not a curated record.
GGGAGUUAGGGUUAUUGGAGACCGAGUGGUCCUUGUAAUGUCGUUUUGUAUUUUUUUUUGUAACGCCCACAACCUUGGCCCUUUUUUCAUCUUUCUUGGGCUCUUGGCCUUCAGCCCUUAUUUGGGCUAUGGACUUUUUUUUUUGUGCCCCCCAUCUGUUUUGGGCCUUGGACAGCUGCCCCUGUGACAUUGGGCUUGGUCACCACCCUUCUCGCCGAUUUCUCCCUCCGUCUUCGAAUCCGGCCACACCCACACCACACAAAUGACUCACCUCUCUGAUCUCUCUCAAAUCAGAUAAAUUUUGGAAUUAAUUUAGGGUUCGAAUUCUAGAUUAGGGUUUGUGAAAUUUAGCACAUGGAGGUGGAACUGAUAUGAAAUUUAGUCCCUUUUGGCUAAAUUUCAACACUUUCUCAAAUUUCAAGAACUGGGGUUUGGGAUUUCAGCUAAAUUUUGAUUUUCCAAAGCAGAUUCUGUGCGCUUACUUCGUGGUGCUUCCGCUGCGCGAUGAGGGUGCAAUUUCCUUAGGUCUGUCGAGCCUGCCGAGCCUGUUUGUGGGGUCAUGGACCUUCACCUCCAUUGCCUCACCAGUUGCAACUCUCAUUUUCUCUCUGCCCAACGUUUCGAAAGGCAAGUUUUUGGUGGAAGUAUUAGCAUCAAUAUUGGUAAAGAAUUAUGCAGUAUGUUAGGAUUGUGCCUAUAUCUCGGACACAGGAUUAGUUUUAAGAUGUAACAUUUCAGGUACUGCCGUGUAAUCUCUUUUCAUGAAGGCCACUGCUUGAAACGUGUGGGAAACAUUCCCUUGGAUGAAUACAAUGUUUCAGUAAUAUGAUGCAUGUGUCGUCCUAAUAUAAGCUUUCCGAGCUCUUGGGAUUUCUAUGAGUCAUGUCAGUGAGAUGUUCAUGCUUAUGAGUAAGUUGUAUCCUAGUAUAAGCUGUAUCCUUGGGAUUUCUAUGUAUGAAGUUAAAGGCUAAAAGCCCAAUAUGUAUGAAGUUAUGCACAGAUUGAUAUUGAUUGCACAUAUUGGGUUGGGUUAUAAA